UCAGCUCAGGACGAACGCUGGCGGCGUGCCUAAUACAUGCAAGUCGAACGCUUCUUUUCCCACCGGAGCUUGCUCCACCGGGAAAAGAGGAGUGGCGAACGGGUGAGUAACACGUGGGUAACCUGCCCAUCAGAAGGGGAUAACACUUGGAAACAGGUGCUAAUACCGUAUAACAAUCGAAACCGCAUGGUUUCGUUUUGAAAGGCGCUUUACGGUGCCGCUGAUGGAUGGACCCGCGGUGCAUUAGCUAGUUGGUGAGGUAACGGCUCACCAAGGCCACGAUGCAUAGCCGACCUGAGAGGGUGAUCGGCCACAUUGGGACUGAGACACGGCCCAAACUCCUACGGGAGGCAGCAGUAGGGAAUCUUCGGCAAUGGACGAAAGUCUGACCGAGCAACGCCGCGUGAGUGAAGAAGGUUUUCGGAUCGUAAAACUCUGUUGUUAGAGAAGAACAAGGGUGAGAGUAACUGUUCACCCCUUGACGGUAUCUAACCAGAAAGCCACGGCUAACUACGUGCCAGCAGCCGCGGUAAUACGUAGGUGGCAAGCGUUGUCCGGAUUUAUUGGGCGUAAAGCGAGCGCAGGCGGUUUCUUAAGUCUGAUGUGAAAGCCCCCGGCUCAACCGGGGAGGGUCAUUGGAAACUGGGAGACUUGAGUGCAGAAGAGGAGAGUGGAAUUCCAUGUGUAGCGGUGAAAUGCGUAGAUAUAUGGAGGAACACCAGUGGCGAAGGCGGCUCUCUGGUCUGUAACUGACGCUGAGGCUCGAAAGCGUGGGGAGCAAACAGGAUUAGAUACCCUGGGUAGU
This 805-nucleotide ribosomal RNA is filed under the name uncultured Enterococcus sp. RNAcentral describes it as "bacterial SSU rRNA". It matches the Rfam family "Bacterial small subunit ribosomal RNA", at positions 19 to 794 of the family's 1533-position model. Lineage: Bacteria; Bacillati; Bacillota; Bacilli; Lactobacillales; Enterococcaceae. The record is from RNAcentral.